This 482-nucleotide ribosomal RNA is filed under the name uncultured bacterium. Its description in RNAcentral is "partial 16S ribosomal RNA". It matches the Rfam family "Bacterial small subunit ribosomal RNA", at positions 30 to 507 of the family's 1533-position model. The record is from RNAcentral.
AUUGAACGCUGGCGGCAUGCUUUACACAUGCAAGUCGAACGGCAGCGCGGGGCAACCUGGCGGCGAGUGGCGAACGGGUGAGUAAUAUAUCGGAACGUACCCAGAAGUGGGGGAUAACGUAGCGAAAGUUACGCUAAUACCGCAUACGAUCUACGGAUGAAAGUAGGGGACCGAAAGGCCUUAUGCUUUUGGAGCGGCCGAUAUCUGAUUAGCUAGUUGGUGAGGUAAAGGCUCACCAAGGCGACGAUCAGUAGCUGGUCUGAGAGGACGACCAGCCACACUGGAACUGAGACACGGUCCAGACUCCUACGGGAGGCAGCAGUGGGGAAUUUUGGACAAUGGGCGCAAGCCUGAUCCAGCAAUGCCGCGUGAGUGAAGAAGGCCUUCGGGUUGUAAAGCUCUUUUGUCAGGGAAGAAACGGUAGAGGCUAAUAUCCUUUGCUAAUGACGGUACCUGAAGAAUAAGCACCGGCUAACUACGUG